RNAcentral lists this long non-coding RNA (6153 nucleotides) under Sus scrofa (pig). Its description in RNAcentral is "lncRNA (ENSSSCG00035010247.1)". Lineage: Eukaryota; Metazoa; Chordata; Mammalia; Artiodactyla; Suidae. The record is from RNAcentral.
ACACCCAUGGCAGGUGGAAGUUCCCCGGCCAGGAAUUGACCCUGAGCCACAGCAGUGACUCGAGCCACAGCAAUGACAACGCCAGGCCCCCAGUCUGCUGAAACACCAGGGCACUCUCUUGCGUUGUUUUUUCAAUUGGAGUCGCUUACCUGACCCUGCUCAGCCUUAGCAUCAGUAGGGAAGAAGCUAGAUGGAAAGACAUCACCUGCGCCAUGAAGUUGAGAAAGACCAGCGGCCUGUGAUGGACUUGAAUCCAUAUUCCCAGGCUCACUGCCCCAUCUGCAGUUACACAGGACCCAGAAAUAUCAUGCCACAAAGCAUGAGACAACAAAUCACCACAUCACCAUUCUUCGAAAAAUAGACAUAAAAUGUCACCCACGCGUCAUCAGGGUCCCUGCCCCAGGAGGUCUGGGUGGACUUCACCCAUCCCAGCACUAUGGCCCAUGGCUGGCUGGAGCCCUCACUUGAUGUCCGUGCAUCUCUGUCCUCUGGGCCCCUCUGGCCUCACAGGCUGGCCCUGACCGACCCUGAGCCUCAGAACCUGCCUCGCCAGCAGUUUCCCACAGAAACGCCUUCCACAUCAAGUGGUCUGUGCUUUUUUGUUUGCCGUGGGCUAGAGAUGUUGCAUGUCAGAGAAACAGUCGCCCACACGGCACACAAAGAGACCAUCUCCUGAGUGUCCGCACUGCUUCCCCUGCCCCCUCCCCUUCCCCCUGGUGUGGCCAAGCGCUCCCCUCCUGAUUCUGACCCCAGAGUCAGGUCUGUCCUUGGUCCCUUUAAGGUAUUAGCUUCUCCCCGUAGUUAAUGCAUGAAGAAAAUCCCUCCCUCUCUGUCUCUCUCUCCCCCUCUCAUUCUCCAUUAUGGACUUUUGGUGAUUCUGAGUUUCUGUCUCACUUCAUUCAAUACACAGUAGAGCUUAACAGGACUCUUCUUUAGAAAUUGCCUUAAAUAAUUGCCUUAAAUAGGAUUGUUGGGAAACACUGACUAUUUUCAAGUUUCGAUGGGGUCAGGGUCAGGGCUGUCUGAACAGCGUGGUGGCACCUGGAGUGGAAGCCGCUUGGAUAGCCAUGAGCACAGCAGUGCGGGUUGCAAGUUGAAGAUCACGGCCCCUGGCGAGAUGGUCAGCUCUCUUGCCCCUGGAGACAGGUAUUGACGUUCCAAAGGGUAAUGAACCUGAGGACCUUCCUGUUCCCUCUCUUUCUCUCUGGGUUGGGGGUGGGGGGGACGGGGAGCAGAUGGACCCUCAGCUCCUAUAUUAGCUUCAAGAUUCAGUCUUGGAGUCCUUCCCCUGGGGUGCAAGCCGCUAGACAUGCAGAGUCAUCUGGGCCUCACAGCGGUUCCCCGAGGGAAGACGGCCCAUGAGCGACCAGCACGAGGAUGGCUGGGUCAGUAAGUCAACCUUGGAUCCAGAAAGCAUGUGUUUCCUCUCAGGACAAGUAAGACGUCUGGAUAUAAAAACACACAAUGUGGCACGAGGAUAUCCACUUUUUUGCAAUUUGAUAGAAAACGGAUCUCCAAAUUUUGAACUGCAUUGUUUCUUUGGAAACUGUUGACUGAAAGAAUAUGCACAACCUAAAAGUUGAGAGUUAAGUUUUAUUUGGAGCAAAAUGAGGACUUAAGCCCUAGGCGGCAGCAUCUCAAGUAACCCUGAGAAAAGCGCUCCAAGGAAGCGAGGUGGGAGCUGGGAUAUACAGGACAAAGAGCAAGUAGGAACAAAAGACCACUGUUAAUAACAGGAAACCCAGGAGUUCCCGUCGUGGCGCAGUGGAAACAAAUCCAACUAGGAACCAUGAGGUUUCGGGUUCGAUCCCUGGUCUUACUCAAUGGGUUAAGGAUCUGGUGUUGCCAUGAGCUGGAAUGUAGGCUGCAGACGCAGCUCGGAUCCUGUGUUGCUGUGGCUGUGGUAUAGGCUGGCAACUGUAGCUCCAAUUUUACCCCUACCUGGGGAAGAGAGGUUCGUGAAGAAAAAUCAGGGCAGAAACCAUCAAGAUCUCUGACAAUAUAUUUUCUGGUGAGGCGUCGGGUAUUUCAUUAAAUCUAAGAUACUAACAAUUAUAAGAGGAAUCAUCAUUUUAGGGACCACUAAGAAAAACAGAAACAAGCUGCCAAUUAAACUAUGACAAAAUGCCUUCUAGGACCUCAGAAUUUCCAUUUAGGCUUAUUUAGAUUUAGAUGUUUAUGCUAUAGGGACACGUUGUGGUGCGUAUUUACAGUCUAACACAUGUGGAUGUCUUUCCAGUUUAGUCUCAUCGAUGUUCGUGCUGCUGACACAGCAAUUUUUUUCUUUUUCUUUUAAAAAAUGCUUGGAUGGUCCUUUCCAUUCAGCAGUUUAAUACUGGAACUUUCUGGAUUUCUCUAGAAGGUGUCAAUGACAGGCUGGCAAGCAACAACCGGGAAUUGAGUUUCUUUUGGUGUUACCUGGACUUUUAGGUUAACUAAAGCAGCCCAUUUGUGGCCUCUCAAACAUACAUUGUACACCUGCUUUAAUCAUUAAAGAAAAUGGUGCAUUGACCAGAAGUGAAGAAUGUCCACCUUAAAAAUAAAGAUGAAAUCCCACCCUUCCUGGGACAGCAAGGCUGGUGCUUCUUCGAUGAUAAGAGUCCUUUCCUGGGUGUCAAAGCCAUACUGAUUGGCUACUAGCUGUCUUUAAAACAAACACAUAAAAAACCCCAAAACGGGAAGGAAUGUAUCCAUGAUUUCUUUAGUGUUCCUCCUCUAACGAGGUAUAAAACCAGCGAAAACCAUGCUUCUCCAGAGCAGUUCCUUAGAGUUCUUGGAGAGGUUUCCCCGGGGAGAGUCAGUCCUCAGUCUGGCUCAGAUAAAACUCUUUUCUAUUCCUAUUAUAGGUGGUUCAUUAAUUAUUUCUGUCGACAAUGCCCUGAAAUCGCCAAAUGCAGGGCCGCAAGGACCCACCACUAGAGCAGGAUGGCAGCCAGUCGGUGCACCAAGCACAGCAACCGCACUGGGUCCUCGCGGGGAGCCAGCUCCACGCAGGCUCCUAGCCACCCCGAGGCAGAAGUGGGGACGGCCAGGAAAGGGAGCCGGCACCCACCCGGGGACAAGAGACUUCUGGUCGGGGGAGGCCGGGCAGCACUUGGAGGGGAAAACCCUACCUGUGAUUGUUCCAGGCCCCCUCCCUAACCCUCUCAGUGACCCACGCUGAGCUGAGCAGGUACGCAGGGACUGGUGAAUUCAUUCCUUUCACACAGAGGGCCCAAGCAGUGAUUGAAUCGCUGGAAAUUCAGCAGUGAACCCAGCAUGAGCGUCCCCCAGAAUGUGGACUACCUUCUCACAGGGGCCACAGACGGGGGAGCAGAUCCUGAGUCAGUGGGCGGUGAAUAUCUGGAAGUUUCUAGAAGCAGGUGGGGGCGGGAGGGAUUGGGGAAAGAUGAGGGUGGCUGCUGCUGAAAUGAAUUGGCAGGAUAAUGCGCCCCAAUUGCUGGGAGUCCAUCCUCCAUGCUCAUUAAAAUCCACACCUUCCUAUUUUAUCUGAGACUGAGGAUUUCAAAACACACACACACACACGCACACACACGUGAACACACACGGGAUCUCUGGAAGCCACCACCUCAAAGCCCUGCCAGGAGCAAACACUCCCUGGUGAGCAUUCAAAAGCAGGCGAUCAAGACAUACAAGAGAUGCAGGAGUUACAGGGAAGGCGCAGUUCUGAUGAGUUAGAACCAGUGUCCCCUGAGACGUGGACUUGCUCCAAGGAGCAGGACAGAAUGACCUCCAGAGUGUUUUUUAAUACGCAAUGUUUAUUCUCACUGCAAUGGCAGAGACAAGGCAGUCCUGGAAAGAGAACAGCAUCCAGAGGUCAGCGAAAAUUGCCCGCAGUGGAAAAGCUAUUACCAAAUUUUAAAACACAAUAAAAGAGUUUAAUAAGGUGUCCGGUUUACAAAAUAAAUCCAUAAAAAUCGAUGGCUUUCGUUUUACACCAAUAAUAACCUGGCAGAAAGUGUAAUGGGAGGAAAAUUCCACAUGCAGUCAUGACAAUAAAUAUGAAAUACCCAGGAAUAAUUGCCCUGAGGUGUGCUGAAGUCCACGGUGAGCGCUUUAAAAUUUACUUGCCAAGAAGACACACAUAUCAUGUUCUUCAGAGGGAGCAGAGGAUAUGUAGUUUGAAUCUUCCGUGCUGUGAUUCUCAUUACCCUGGGAUUAAUUUGCUCUGGCAUCUGCAUUCUCCACGAUGCUGUGAACUCCAAGAUGCUGUGUCACCUCCUGCUGUGUUUUAGUACAUGUCCAGGUUCCUGGAUCAUAGCAGGUGCUCAGUAAAUACUGGCUGGCUUAGUGAGUCGAAAUGGAGAGGACCACACAUCCAGGCUGUUUUAAAGGAACCACCAGAGGAUCCAAGAUUGAGCCCUAAAGCCCGAAAGAAUGGCUCCAAACCACAAUGGUUUUAGACAAUUAGAAAUUUAUUUCUUUCACUGUAGUAUUCCCGGAACCUUGGCAAAGAGGGUAGCGAUCAGCCUCUUAGGCAUUAUCCCAGCCUGGGGUGAAAGGGACAAAGGACCCACCCCACAAAAGCAGCCGUUCUCGCGGCCCCAUGAAGCAGUAAGAGCUAGAAGUCCCCCUCAGACUCCUCUGUACUGGGGGCCAAUGAGGCUCCUUGGAAUGUUCCAGAGACUUCCUUGGGGAACAGGAAGUGCCUUCAAGGCUUUCGAGUGGCAGUGGAAGGAAACCAUUGUUAUUGGAAACAAAAUCUAACCUGGUAACUGCAGCCCUGUCUUCUUAGAAGCUGAGGACCAAAACACAAUCCAAACAGCAGUGGAACAAAAUCUCUAGGCCCUCUCCUUCUUGAAGGCCUUGAUGAGGAAGAGAGAAGGAGCAACUCUUCAGGCGGACGCCCCACUGCGUAGGGAGGAUCCUGAUGAAUUUCUGGUCUGCGGAGAGGCUCAGCGUCUAGUCUGGGAGUGAAAAACUGGAAAGCACAACUGUUCUGUAUAUUAAAAGGGAGGAAGAUUUGAGGGUUUACUGAAAACAGGGGGCGCACUGGAGCAGAGGAGAAAGGAGAGAGCAAACUGGUGGAAGAAUCAGGAGCCCAGGCUGGUGACAAUGGUCAGAGACUUUAGGAACCAGAAGUCCCAUGGCUCACCUAAGCCAGGCACAGAAACAGAUGGUUCUCAACAUCCAGGAAAGUUGCUGAGCUCCAUGCCUGGAUCUGCAAAAAGGAUAGGAUGCUGCCGAGGGAGGGAAGAGCCAGAGGAGGUCUGAGUUCUGCCAAAGGUCAAACACGAGGUGCAGAAUCCACAGGGAGACUCAGGGCGAGGGUUUGAGAAGACAGCCCUCAAAGGAUUCCUCGGUGUGACUUGCAGGGAAGUUCCAAGAAAGCUCCCCUGAUCCAAAGCCACCCCAACGGCAGGUCUGAUGCCCAUGCAGAAGGUGAUAAACACUCUUGCCCAUCCUGCCCAGAGCAGACCACUCACAGAGCUCAAGCCUGGAAGGACUUUUGCAAGAGCCCAAUUCCUUUCCAACCUCAAGCUUGUCCAUAAAUGACCAUGAGAUCAGGGGAGUGGAAAUAUAGCAAGUGAGGACUGAUGAAAAGAACUGGGGGUGUUUGGACUAAAACAAGAAGGCCUGGGAGGACGAGAGAACCAUCUCCAAACCAGGAUGGGAAUGGGCUUAUCAUCUAUUAUGAUUCUGGAGGGCGAAACUGAAGUCAGAAGAUAGAAGCAGCAGGAAAAAAUAACUUGGCUCAAGGCAAGGGGGGCGUUCUUGCCGCUUGAGAAAGUGAAAGUGACUUCCUAUGAACAGUGAGAGAAGGGGCAGAGGAGGUGAGAGCCUGACCUCCGGUGCUUGGUGCGGAGUGGUGGGGCACAGUGUCCAAGCUGAAAUGGGGUGAGAUUCUUGGAUGGGAUGCCCUGAUUCUAACCCCCCGCUAAGAUCCCAGCAAUAACACCACCUGCAGAGCCCACCAUGGGAAACGGAGCUGCUCACAGGGCAGGAGGUGGCUCCCUGAAGCUGUGGUGACCCAACACUUUGGGGAUUAUUUCCAGAGUAAGCAUGAGUGUCUGUGAGUGCACGUGGGGACAGCAGGACAGACCCUCAGCAAGGUCUUGCAAUGACCUUCUCAAGUGGGCCUUCCCUGAGCAGAGGGGUUUCCAGAACAUCUCCUUGCCUGAGUCACUGACUUAAAGGCAGAGAAUUGGGGAA